Molecule: ribosomal RNA, 497 nt
Filed under: uncultured bacterium
Lineage: Bacteria
Description: partial 16S ribosomal RNA
Rfam family: Bacterial small subunit ribosomal RNA
Source: RNAcentral
GAUGAACGCUGGCGGCGUGCCUAAUACAUGCAAGUCGAGCGAACAGACGAGGAGCUUGCUCCUCUGACGUUAGCGGCAGACGGGUGAGUAACACGUGGAUAACCUACCUAUAAGACUGGGAUAACUUCGGGAAACCGGAGCUAAUACCGGAUAAUAUAUUGAACCGCAUGGUUCAAUAGUGAAAGACGGUUUUGCUGUCACUUAUAGAUUGAUCCGCGCCGCAUUAGCUAGUUGGUAAGGUAACGGCUUACCAAGGCAACGAUGCGUAGCCGACCUGAGAGGGUGAUCGGCCACACUGGAACUGAGACACGGUCCAGACUCCUACGGGAGGCAGCAGUAGGGAAUCUUCCGCAAUGGGCGAAAGCCUGACGGAGCAACGCCGCGUGAGUGAUGAAGGUCUUCGGAUCGUAAAACUCUGUUAUUAGGGAAGAACAAAUGUGUAAGUAACUAUGCACGUCUUGACGGUACCUAAUCAGAAAGCCACGGCUAACUACGUG